Molecule: long non-coding RNA, 130 nt
Organism: Xenia sp. Carnegie-2017
Lineage: Eukaryota; Metazoa; Cnidaria; Anthozoa; Malacalcyonacea; Xeniidae
Exons: 2
Source: RefSeq, a predicted model, not a curated record
GUCAGCAUGCUAACUGCUCUUCAACACAAUUACGUACUAUAAUAUGUGUGGAUGGAAAAGGUCGGCAGCAUUUAAAAAUUGUUGAAUUCUGUCAGUGUAUUAAGGAUGCUGAAAAACUAAUUAAACUCCA